GCCAGUGUGGUGUAGUGGUUUGAGUGUUGGACUAGGGCUCUUGAGACCAGGGUUCGAAUCCUGGCUGAGCCA
This is a non-coding RNA of Phrynosoma platyrhinos (Desert horned lizard), 72 nucleotides long. The record is from the annotation of a GenBank genome assembly. Lineage: Eukaryota; Metazoa; Chordata; Lepidosauria; Squamata; Phrynosomatidae.